UUCUUGGCCGAAACAUACACUACUUCAGUCACUCACUCCACUCUAGGAGGAGUUAAAAUAAUUCAAUCGCUGACUUUCGCGAUAAAUCACGCCUCUCGCGUCUUGCCUUCCUAAGGUUUGUCAAGCUUAAAAUUUUUUAGGUCCCAACGACCUAAUACUAAGCUCUGAUACCAACUUAAUCGGUCACGCCCCGAAUUACACGUUCCCCCGGCACGCCAACAAACCCACCGUAUAUAUAGGAAUUUUUUCUGUAUACGAAGCGAU
RNAcentral lists this long non-coding RNA (264 nucleotides) under Ananas comosus (pineapple). RNAcentral's name for it is "long non-coding RNA (ACOM_LNC037745)". Lineage: Eukaryota; Viridiplantae; Streptophyta; Magnoliopsida; Poales; Bromeliaceae. The record is from RNAcentral.